GUAAUAUGUACAGGUUAGUCGAGGUAAUAUGUACAGGUUAGUCGAGGUAAUAUGUACAGGUUAGUCGAGGUAAUAUGUACAGGUUAGUCGAGGUAAUAUGUACAGGUUAGUCAAGGUAAUAUGUACAGGAGGUACAGGUUAGUCAAGGUAAUAUGUACAGGAGGUACAGGUUAGUCGAGGUAAUAUGUACAGGUUAGUCGAGGUAAUAUGUACAGGUUAGUCAAGGUAAUAUGUACAGGGGGUACAGGUUAGUCAAGGUAAUAUGUACAGGAGGUACAGGUUAGUCAAGGUAAUAUGUACAGGAGGUACAGGUUAGUCGAGGUAAUAUGUACAGGAGGUACAGGUUAGUCAAGGUAAUAUGUACAGGUUAGUCGAGGUAAUAUGUACAGGUUAGUCAAGGUAAUAUGUACAGGGGGUACAGGUUAGUCGAGGUAAUAUGUACAGGUUAGUCGAGGUAAUAUGUACAGGUUAGUCGAGGUAAUAUGUACAGGUUAGUCGAGGUAAUAUGUACAGGUUAGUCGAGGUAAUAUGUACAGGUGGUACAGGUUAGUCAAGGUAAUAUGUACAGGUUAGUCAAGGUAAUAUGUACAGGUUAGUCGAGGUAAUAUGUACAGGUUAGUCAAGGUAAUAUGUACAGGGGGUACAGGUUAGUCGAGGUAAUAUGUACAGGGGGUACAGGUUAGUCAAGGUAAUAUGUACAGGUUAGUCAAGGUAAUUUGUACAGGGGGUACAGGUUAGUCAAGGUAAUAUGUACAGGUUAGUCAAUGUAAUUUGUACAGGUUAGUCAAGGUAAUUUGUACAGGUUAGUCAAGGUAAUUUGUACAGGUUAGUCAAGGUAAUAUGUACAGGGGGUACAGGUUAGUCGAGGUAAUAUGUACAGGGGGUACAGGUUAGUCAAGGUAAUUUGUACAGGUUAGUCAAGGUAAUUUGUACAGGUUAGUCAAGGUAAUUUGUACAGGUUAGUCAAGGUAAUAUGUACAGGUUAGUCAAGGUAAUAUGUACAGGUUAGUCAAGGUAAUAUGUACAGGUUAGUCAAGGUAAUAUGUACAGGUUAGUCGAGGUAAUAUGUACAGGGGGUACAGGUUAGUCGAGGUAAUAUGUACAGGUUAGUCGAGGUAAUAUGUACAGGUUAGUCGAGGUAAUAUGUACAGGUUAGUCGAGGUAAUAUGUACAGGUUAGUCGAGGUAAUAUGUACAGGUUAGUCGAGGUAAUAUGUACAGGUUAGUCGAGGUAAUAUGUACAGGUUAGUCGAGGUAAUAUGUACAGGUUAGUCGAGGUAAUAUGUACAGGUUAGUCGAGGUAAUAUGUACAGGUUAGUCGAGGUAAUAUGUACAGGUUAGUCGAGGUAAUAUGUACAGGUUAGUCGAGGUAAUAUGUACAGGUUAGUCGAGGUAAUAUGUACAGGUUAGUCAAGGUAAUAUGUACAGGUUAGUCGAGGUAAUAUGUACAGGGGGUACAGGUUAGUCAAGCUAAUAUGCAAUACCAGGUUCUGUAAUGAUGCCUCAUAUAGGCAGAUUACCUUGAUGCCUUGUGCGCAGGCACUAUGGUGUUCUGCUUGAAACAUGUAGGUAUUACAGACUCGGUCAGGGACGUAGGGACGUUCCCCUGGCAGACCGGGGUCCGUAGGGACGUUCCCCUGGCAGACCGGGGUCCGUAGGGACGUUCCCCUGGCAGACCGGGGUCCGUGGGGACGUUCCCCUGGCAGACCGGGGUCCGUAGGGACGUUCCCCUGGCAGACCGGGGUCCGUGGGGACGUUCCCCUGGCAGACCGGGGUCCGUGGGGACGUUCCCCUGGCAGACCGGGGUCCGUGGGGACGUUCCCCUGGCAGACCGGGGUCCGUGGGGACGUUCCCCUGGCAGACCGGGGUCCGUGGGGACGUUCCCCUGGCAGACCGGGGUCCGUGGGGACGUUCCCCUGGCAGACCGGGGUCCGCGGGGACGUUCCCCUGGCAGACCGGGGUCCGCGGGGACGUUACCCUGGCAGACCGGGGUCCGCGGGGACGUUACCCUGGCAGACCGGGGUCCGCGGGGACGGUACCCUGGCAGACCGGGGUCCGUGGGGACGGUACCCUGGCAGACCGGGGUCCGUGGGGACGGUACCCUGGCAGACCGGCUGGCAGACCGGGGUCCGUAGGGACGGUACCCUGGCAGACCGGGGUCCGUGGGGACGGUACCGGGGUCCGUAGGGACGUUCCCUGGCAGACCGGGGUCCGUAGAGACUGUACUCUAGUAGGGACGGUACCCUGGCAGACCGGGGUCCGUAGGGACGGUACUCUAGUAGGGCUUUGGUCAGAAGUAGUGCAGUCGAUACGGUGCCGUUUGGGAAGCUGGAUCUAUUGUUUAUGUUUGUUUUCCCUC
Long non-coding RNA from Salvelinus fontinalis (brook trout), 2358 nucleotides. RefSeq lists it as uncharacterized. The record is from RefSeq and is a predicted model, not a curated record. The transcript is spliced from 3 exons. Lineage: Eukaryota; Metazoa; Chordata; Actinopteri; Salmoniformes; Salmonidae.